This 417-nucleotide long non-coding RNA is filed under the name Scleropages formosus (Asian bonytongue). RNAcentral's name for it is "lncRNA (ENSSFOG00015032499.1)". Lineage: Eukaryota; Metazoa; Chordata; Actinopteri; Osteoglossiformes; Osteoglossidae. The record is from RNAcentral.
UGUUCUCUCUGCGCAUGUCUAUAUACGUUUUCCCGCUUUUUUAUGUCGUGGAGGUGGGGAUCUUUUUCACUGGUUUGCAACAGUACUGCGCGUUACGUAAAUUCGGUAUAACCCUGUCCAAGGAUCCUCAUUUUUGACUUAACGUGGUCGGAGCUGCUACCAGUCAAGGUUGUGAAAUGGUGGGCACACGACGACGCGGGGACGUCGAGAUAUCCGAUUUUGCUAGCUGGCUCUUCAUGUCUAAUCUUGGUGUAAUGUGGAACAGAACUUUUUGGGGAUCCCAUAUUGUUUUGGUAAGUGCAUUUAACAAACACUUAAAAGCGAUACUGAUGGCAGCAGUAUUUCAGCGGUCAUUCAGUUUAAAACAAUGUUUUAAACCACAACUCCAUAGAUCUGCAACAGCUGCGGAUAAAUUUC